Molecule: RNA transcript, 2336 nt
Organism: Oryza sativa Japonica Group (Japanese rice)
Lineage: Eukaryota; Viridiplantae; Streptophyta; Magnoliopsida; Poales; Poaceae
Source: RefSeq, a predicted model, not a curated record
AAUACUCCUAGAUUGCGCCGCACCACGCCACCACGUACGCACGCGUGCUACAAAUUUCCCUCUUCCUCCGUCUACCGAGAAGUGGCCCAAAAGGGGCGCCUCGCUCUCGCCCCCCUCCCGACUCAGGCACCACCAUCUCGCAUCAUUUGUUUUUUCUCCCUGGAAAGAGCGGCCAUCUCGCCCUGCGUUGCGAGAUCCCCGUGAACCGUCGCGGCCGGGCGGUGGUAAUCGUGGCAAGGACGGAUGCAGCACAAAUGGAAGGUCGUGGAGGGCGGCGCCGGUGCCGGUGCCGGCGGCGGCGGGGGAGAUCAGCGCCGGCGGUGCGUGACGGCGUCGUUGUCCAUGCUGAUCGCGGCCACCCUGGCGUUUCUUGCCUACGUCGCCUUCUUCCCGUAUGACGGCGCGGGCGGGCUGUACCGGUGGUGGAGAUGCGAGGGUUGCGGCGACGCGGCGGGCGGGUUCGCCUUCGACGAGGCGGCCAUGGCGCAAGGACCUACGGCUGGUGGCGCCCGCCGCCGCUCGCCGACGACGCUGUCGCACAUCGUGUUCGGCGUCGGCGCCUCGGCGCGGACGUGGGACAAGCGGCGCGGGUACGCGGAGCUGUGGUGGCGCCCCGGGGAGAUGCGCGGCCACGUCUGGCUCGACGAGCAGCCGGUGGGGCCCUGGCCGGCGGCGACGUGCCCGCCGUACCGCGUCUCGGCGGACGCGUCCCGGUUCGGGGACCGGGCGUCGGCGUCCCGGAUGGCCAGGAUCGUGGCGGACUCGUUCUUAGCCGUCACGGCGGAGAUGGCGAACGGCACCACCGAUUCUCCCGAGGCGCGGUGGUUUGUGAUGGGUGACGACGACACGGUGUUCUUCCCGGACAACCUGGUGGCCGUGCUGAACAAGUACGACCACGAGGAGAUGUACUACGUCGGGGCGCCGUCGGAGAGCGUGGAGCAGGACGUGAUGCACUCGUACGGCAUGGCGUUCGGCGGCGGCGGGUUCGCCGUCAGCUACCCGGCCGCCGCCGAGCUCGCCAAGGCCAUCGACGGUUGCCUCGAACGAUACAGGCUGUUCUACGGCAGCGAUCAGCGCGUGCAAGCCUGCCUCAGCGAGCUCGGCGUCCCUCUCACCCGCGAGCCCGGAUUCCACCAGGAAUCGGGAAAAGGUGGACGUCCGCGGCGACGCGUACGGGAUGCUGGCCGCCCACCCGCUGGCGCCGCUGGUGUCGCUCCACCACCUCGACCACAUCGAGCCCAUCAGCCCCGGGGGGCAGCAUGGCAGCCCGCUGGACGCGGCGCGGCGGCUGGUGCGCGCGUCGCGGCUCGACCAGGCGCGGUCGCUGCAGCAGGCGUUCUGCUACCAGCGCGGGCCGCGCUACACCUGGUCCGUGUCGGUGUCGUGGGGUUACACGGUGCAGCUGUACCCGUGGGCCGUGGCGCCUCACGAGCUGGAGGUGCCGCUCCGGACGUUCAAGACGUGGCGGUCGUGGGCCGAUGGCCCGUUCGUCUUCAACACGCGGCCGCUGAGCCGCGACGACGCGUGCGCCCAGCGGGCCGUCUUCUUCCUCAGCGCCGCCCGGAACGAUACGUCCUCCCGCGGCCGCGGCCGCAGCCGAGCCACCAUGACGGAGUACACCAGGCGCGUUGCGAAGCCGGGGGCCAAGGAAUGUGACCGGCCCAGCUUCCUCGCGGCGUCCACGGUCCACACGGUCAGGGUCUUCGCCCCAAAGAUGAGCCCAAACGAGUGGACACGGGCCCCACGGCGGCAUUGCUGCAGCACGAAGAGGACGAGGUUUGGCACUGAGCUGGAGGUGCGGAUACGAUACUGCGGCCGAGGAGAGCUCACCACGCCGUAGCUCUCUGCCGAUGAUCCCGCCGCAGUUUUGCCAACAGCACGGAGGGCUAGAUGCCAAGAUUUUAGUAGCGGCUAGUGCCAUGACACCGAACUGACUGAAGAGGACGGCAGGGUGAAACACCGUAUUUCACUGCGGAUUUUUGGACAGAUUCUGGUUUGUCUUCGUUGUGCACGUACAAGUGAUUAUACGGCUCGUCAGGCCGCAGACACAUGCUGACAUGCAUACGCAUGAUUGCAUACCCCGGGUACACAGUAAUCCGUUUGGCUCGAGCGCUCUUUUUCUGUAAAGAGCUGUAAAGGGAGUGGUGAUCAGACUUAACGAUUUCGACAUGUAAAGCGUAGUAGGACUAGUUUGAAAGGAUGGUCUUUUCACUGUUUUGAGAAAGAAAAGGUGGUAUUUAUCUUCUGGAGGUACUUUCAGUUCUUCGUGGAUCCACAUUGCACAAGAAAUAGAAGGGACAAAGUAAUAAGGAAUAAGUUCACUUUAGGUCGCUCAA